UACAGAGGGUGCAAGCGUUAAUCGGAAUUACUGGGCGUAAAGCGCGCGUAGGUGGUUUGUUAAGUUGGAUGUGAAAGCCCCGGGCUCAACCUGGGAACUGCAUCCAAAACUGGCAAGCUAGAGUACAGUAGAGGGUGGUGGAAUUUCCUGUGUAGCGGUGAAAUGCGUAGAUAUCAAGUGGAACACCAGUGGCGAAGGCGAGUCCCUGGACAACUCCUGACACUGAGGCACGAAAGCUAGGGGAGCAAACAGG
This 253-nucleotide ribosomal RNA is filed under the name uncultured bacterium. RNAcentral's name for it is "partial 16S ribosomal RNA". It matches the Rfam family "Bacterial small subunit ribosomal RNA", at positions 524 to 776 of the family's 1533-position model. The record is from RNAcentral.